CAUGGAUCUAGCUGGAGGCCAUUAUUUUAAGCGAAUUAAUGCAGGAACAGAAAAGCAAAUACUGCAUGUUUUUAUUUAUAAGUGGGAGCUAAACAUUGAGUACUCAUGGACAUAGAGAUGGCAACAGUAUAAACUGGGGACUACUGGUGGGGGAGGGAGAGAGGAGAGCAAGUGUUGAAAAACUACUGGGGACUAUAAUCAGUACGUAGGUGACAGGAUCAUUGGUACUGCAAACCUCAGCAUCAUGGAGUAUACCCAGUCAUCAUACCUGCACAUGUACCUCCUGAAUCUAAGAUAGAAAAAAACAAGGGUGGAAA
RNAcentral lists this long non-coding RNA (317 nucleotides) under Homo sapiens (human). RNAcentral's name for it is "non-protein coding lnc-NAA30-4:1". The record is from RNAcentral. Lineage: Eukaryota; Metazoa; Chordata; Mammalia; Primates; Hominidae.